Molecule: long non-coding RNA, 1578 nt
Organism: Vicia villosa (hairy vetch)
Lineage: Eukaryota; Viridiplantae; Streptophyta; Magnoliopsida; Fabales; Fabaceae
Exons: 3
Source: RefSeq, a predicted model, not a curated record
UAAAAAAUAAGAAAGGCAAAAGGGGGAUUAGGGAUUUACUUUCGUGACGAUUGAACUUCUUCGGCGAAACUCUCCCUCUCCCUCGCGAAAUCACAGACGUGAAACGGCGGCGGCAAUGCUCUCUUCUCCGGUCAAAUUCUGAUCGCCACCGUGAACGGCGCUACGAAUCAAUAGCAUCAACUCUCAUCAUCAGUUCCCUCGCCUUGCUCACUUUCAUCUUCUUCGUGGAUUCGCGACGGCGGCAGAGUCUCAUCCCUCUCCGGCAACGCUUCCGUGAACCAACCAACACAACUGCCUCUCUUCCGCCUCUCCGACUUCGUCUCUUAUCUCAUCUCUCCGAUUCGAGUUUCGUUCUUCGAUCGGAGUCUCUCUCAGAUUCGUUUCGUUUUCACAUCGAUCGGUAACCGCAUUCAAUCGUUCCCUUCUUCUUCGUUUUUUCUUCUUUUAUAUUCGAAUUUCCUCUUCUUUUUUCACUUUCUCUUUUCUGCAGAAUCUACGGAGAUGAUGAAGAUGUGCGAUGAAGAAUCAUGAAGUUACAGUGAUGAAGAUGAAGAACGGUGUGAGGCACUCUUGAAGCUCGUUGAAGAAUUUGAAGAUUGGAGGGGUGAAUCUAAAGAUGAAUCGAUGAAGAAUUGUGUGGUACUACUCAGAAGGUGAUGAUUUUGCAGUGAAUUGAAGAAUGAAAGAGUUGGAGGUGAUGAAGGGAGAUGAUUCUGAAUGUGAAGUGAGGAUGGUGAUGAAUGAAUGGAGAAUGAGUCGAGAGAUCAAUAAUGGUGAAGAUGGAGAGAUGUUGAAUGAUGAUGAAUGAAGAAUGAGAGAAUGGAGAAAAUGAUGAAGAUUGGAGGAGAAUGGUGGAUGAAGUGUGAAGAUUGAUUUGUGGAGUGAAAAAUGGAGAGGUCUUUGAAGAUGAAAGGAAGCAGGAUAUAUAUAGGGCUGUUUGAGAUAUGUUAUGUAAGGUACAGGGACUGUUUUAAACUGGUUUAUCUCUUUUGUACCGGUUUAAGAUGCAGGAUGUUGAAUGGAAUGAAUGCUGAAUGACUGUCUCUUGCGGUGCAGGCUUGUUUUAAGGGCUGAUUCUUAACUGUUGUGUAUGAUGGAUUGUUUGAAUGCUGCAGGGAGGAGUAGCUUAUUUCUGACCUGUCGAAACCGAACUGAUCGUGCGGACUUGAGCAGCUUUAUACACUCAUUUGAUGCACAGAAGGUUGGUUCAUGGCAGUGAACAUGGGGAAUGAUACAAGACUUGGGGCAUUGUUGCAAAUCUGUUUUUUGACAGCAUGGUGAAGAUGGAUUAUGGCAUGAAGGCUAUUUUGAUGAGGCUCUUAGGAUUUUAGGAAACUGAUGACUUUGUAUAGAUAUUUUUGUAUGAUUUUUAUAUGGCUUUGUUUAGGAAACAUAAUGAAGUGUAUGUGAAUUUUUCAGUUCUGUUUUGGAACAUUGGUUGGAUGGUGAAUUGAACGGUAAUCUCCAUGGUGUUUGGUGGUAUUGAUGAUGUAAUAGGAUGAUAACAUGUAACUGGAUUUGGCCAUGGAGUGUAGGGCUUUUUGGGAGUAGAAUGAAAUAACACUUCGUUUCCCUCCA